CUUAAAUAAGUUGGGAGGCAAACAAACAUCAUAGAUUAUUAGGUGGAUUAUAUAAUCUAGAGAACUAUUUAUCAAACAGGGCCUUAAUCACUAAUAAUCCUGGAAGGAAACAAACAGGGCCUUGAUCACUAAUAAUCAAAAUAUCCCACAUGAGGAUACAAGCAGGGUUACUUGCGAAACUAUUUAUCCUUGCUACAGUAUGUACCAAUAGGCAGCCACACUCUUGGUGGCAGCAGAGGGUAGGGACUAACUGGGAGUCAUCCAGCAGAGGGAAUGUAUGCUCGUUGACAUCAAAACAUCUAGCGGAGUGACUGGGAGUCAUAUUCACAUCUGAACCUGAAAAACAAAGAUGGGGAGAUCUUUCAGCUCGUCCAAAAUGUUAUCCAACAAAAAGAAGCAUAACGAGUUUCAUAUGAUUUGUAGUAGUAUCACUUGAUCUUGUGGAAACAUUAGAGCUUAGAAGAAACAAUAAAGGAAAGCCCAAGUAUAAUUGUAACAAGGGUCGUUACAAAUUCUACCUACUUAGGGCAUGUUUGGGACUGCUCGAGACACUCCACCGUGGAGCUGCUCCACAAAAACCUAGAGUUUCUGGAGCACCUCUUUAUGUGGCUCUAACAACACCUUUUUCCUGUAGCACCUCUUUAUGUUGCGUCACCUUUCGGGGCGUUUUAUUCGGCCGUUUCGUUUUAGCUGGUGACCGGAGUUUCUUUGUUGGCCGAUCACAUAGAACGGUCUUCUUGCUAGCAUGUUUGGAGAGCAACUGAUCAAAAGUAGAGCCGGGUCGGCUUUGACCAGCCGACCAUGUGUGCUUUGCCCCUGUGUCUCCUUUUUCACUGUGUAGAGGCUGACGCCUCUGGCCAUGGGUGGACUGUCCGACUGAGUCAAUCGGACCGUCUACAUCAGCAUCGGAUGGUCCGUACCUAGGGCUCGGACGGCCCGCGAUGCUCGCGUUAGGGAGCUUUGCUCGACUGAGUCUGCCCCCCGACGCCUCCGAACUUGUUAGUCUUCUUGUCCCGAAUCUUCCGAGCAAUCCUUCCUUGUGAUAUACUCAACGUGCGAGGAUCACCGAUGACAUGUUUUUGUCUUUGCCUUUAUCAGCCACUUCGGGCCGAACCAAGACCUUUUUGCUUGCUAGCUCUAUCAUAUUGACAGGAAAUGGUUGCGUGUCCACUUGCAUCUCCUGAAAACUCAUCCGGUCCUCAUUUACGGCCGAUUGUAUCUGUCGACGAAAAACAUUACAAUCAUUGGUGACAUGGGAAAAAGAAUUAUGCCACUUGUUGUAAGCACGUCUUUUUAAUUCAUCUAGAGGGAUAGUGUGCGUUAAUUUAAUGUUGUCAUUUUUUAGUAGCUCGUCAAAUAUUUUAUCGCAUUUGGUAAGAUUAAAAGUAAAUUUAACUUCUUGUCGAUUUUUUUGAACCGGCUGCAAAGAAGAACAUGCAGAAGAUUUGGCCUUCGUUGGCCAAACAAGCUCAGUGAUAUAUACAUCUAUGGAUUCAUUAUCAGAACUAUCACGCUCUACUAGAUGUAUAGUACGUGCAACCGAUUUUGAUGUCUCUUUACAUCGGCUUUCACAAGCCAAAACCUGCUGAUGUAGCUGAUCUAUUGAAAAGAAUUGGGUGACAUCUAAUUUGUCUCUUAAGUAGGAUAGCAACCCAUUAAAAGUCAGCCCUGCUAGCUCUUUGUUUGCGACAUGGAUCCGAAAGCAUCGUUUUCUAGUGACCAGAACCUCCGAAUAUAACCAUUAACCGAUUCUUCGCGUCACUGUCGGACUGAGGCUAAAUCAGCUAACCCUAAUUCAUAUUCCCCGAAAAGGAAAUGUUCAUGAAAUUUACUCUCUAAAUCAUUCCAGAAAUUAAUGGAAUUAGGAGGCAAGGUGGCGUACCAUGAAAAAGCGGUACAAGUAAGGGAUAAAGAAAAUAAACGAACACGAAAGGCUUCCCCAUCGGCUAAUUCGCCUAGGUGUUCUAGGAACUGGCCUAUAUGUUCGUGUGUGCUUCUACCAUUUUCACUAGAAAAAAUAGAAAACUUUGUUAUCCUUGCCCCUUGUGGAUAUGGGACAAUGUCAAACCAGUGAUUAUAUGGCUUUUGGUAUGACUGCCCUACUCUAGCUACACUAACUCCGGCCUAUCUCAAAAUAGUUUAACCAUCUCUUCCCUAAUGUUCUCCAUUGCGUCCGAUGGCAGACCACCAGACCCUAGACUGUAGGGCUCAUUCAGUCGGGCAUUGCUAUGUCGACCUUCUUGCCGUGACCGAUCGAUUAUGUUGAUCGGCAUGUGAUCAUAUGGUGCGCUGUGGUUUAAAUAUGUAGGGGGUGGAACGUACUGCUGUUGUGGUGUGUAAUAAUUUGGUGCAUAGUGUGCAACAAUAGGUUCUGUGUAUGCGUAUCCAGACUGUCCGAUGGUAAAUCUGAACUACCCGGUUGUGUUCGCUACUAUUGGGGUGCCACGCGGUGGUCCUGGUGCAGCCCCGAACUGUCCGACAGGGAAAGCCAGACGGUCCGCGUAAGGGUCGGCUGUCCGGGCAAAAGUUUGGACAGUCCGACCAUGUCCAGGGGCGUCGAUCUGCCAAACAGGAACGGCGGUGGUGGUAUUUGUCCUGGAUACGAGUUCAUCGACAUACCAUAUAAUGGUUGGGGCUGCGAAUCCCCAUUUGUUGCCGAUGUAUUAGACAUCGAUAUCCUAUUACUACUUUCAUAUGAUGGAAAACUAGGAGCAAAAGACUUCUCCAACGCACGUGUUAAUUUUCUAAUUGAUUCUUCUAACCCUCCAAUCUGUUGUUUCAUUUGAUUAUGCUGCUGAUCUACAUAAUGUUUAAUAGAUUGGAUGUCGUCGGGUUUACUUACGUUAGGGACUUGAAGCGAGGAUAGAAGAGAUGCGACGUCGGUCUCUCCAUGUUUGACAACCUUCUGGUGGCGAUCCAACGUGUAUUGUGACAAGAAUUUCUCCUUCGCUUGACGCAUGUAGUCUCUGUAUUGCUGUUGCCCCUCAACCGUCAGACUUUCAACAGCCGGCUUCAGGAUAUUGUCCGGGGAAAUAUCGGUGUGAUCUUUAGAACCGGCCAUUUGAGGGCCUGAUUUAUAGUAGAUCUAGAUACCUGGUCCCCAACGGAGUCGCCAAAAAAGUGUGUUGGCGUCGAUCUAGGCGCCAAACACUGGAACGGACCGCCUGACGGUGCUCUCUACGGAGGUGCAGACGGUCCGCGGCAUAAGGUCGGACGGUCCACGGCAUAGGGCCAGACGGUCCAUGACCUAGGCGCAGGAGCGUCUCCUAUUCUGCGUACGUCCGGACGAUCCGCACCUAGGGCUCAAACGGUCCGCGAUGGCACAGAGGGUCUUCUUCGCAGCAGACCUAGAUCUCGCCUCCUGAAAGGGACCCCGUCGGGGAGGAGAGAUCCUAGGGUGUGUCUUGGUGUCGGCACGCCACCCAAGACGCCUCUAGUCGACGUAGAGCCGAAGAGAGGUGAAGAUUUGAGGUAGAGGGGAGCUAAACUAGGGCUAAACUAGAGCUACUCCUAAUGCAUAAGGUAAAAACAAUAAGUAGAUUUGAUUUGAUCCAUUGUGGGGGGUUCAAUCAGCUGUAGCCCUUCAUCUAUAUCAAGAGAAGAGGUCUGGACCCGUUACAAGUCGGUUCUUGAGUUAAUCUCGCAGGCUUAGCUAACAAAUCCCGCAAGAAAAUCAGAACCCUAAUUGAUUCUGCGCACGCGCGGACGGUCCGCGCCACUACGGCGUACAGUCCAGACCGCGGACCGUCCGGCCCCAGGCGCGGACAGUCCGCACUACCAUAGUUGGAGCUCAACACCUUCCCAUACAAGUCCCAACUCCCAAGCAAAGCUAGAGCUUUCUUCUCCAUGGUACUGAUUUCUAAGGUUGGGGAUGGAUCAAAUACACUGUUCUAGACUGAUAGAUGGUUGCAUGGCAAAAGAAUCUCUGACAUUGCUCCCAGGCUGUAUACUUUAAUCCCAAGAAGAAUUAUCAACUGAAAGAAACCUUAUUGAACAGAAGAUGAAUUUCAGAUAUAAAAGGGGCUCUUACAGUUGAAGUCUUGGCAGAUUAUCUAAAGCUUUAGGAAUCCCUCUCAGAAAUUGGGCUGCAGCCAAACACAGAAGAUAGACACAUUUUCAGCUUAACUCUAGAUGUCAAAUACUCGGCAAAAGCAGCAUAUAAAGGUACUUUCUUAGAAUCCAGUACCUUUGGCCACUAUAAAAGAGUCUGGAGAACUUGGGCCCCAUCAAAGUGCUGCUUUUUUAUUUGGCUUGUGGCCCAAAACAGAUGUUGGACUACUGAUCGAUUGGCAAAAAGGGGGUCUGAAUCACCCAAACAUUUGUCUAUUAUGUGAUCAAGAGGCUGAAAUCCUGAACCACCUCUGUGUAUCCUGCGUUUUUGCAAGAAAUUUCUGGUAUAAAUGUUAAGAAAAUUUGGGUUACACAUCCUAGCUCCACAACCAAGCCUCACAUCCUUUUUGGAAUGGUGGAAGUUGGCUUCAGAGGCAGUAUAGAGGAUGGUCAAGAAAGGACUGGAUUCUCUCAUCAUUUUGGGAGACUGGAUGAUUUGGAAUCAUCGCAAUAGAUGUGUGUUUGAUGGAGUGACACCCAGCCUAUCUCUAAUUCUUAAGCAGGCUGAUGGUGAGAAGUCUUUCGGAAUUAGCUGGACCCAAGGGACUUUCCUAUUUGGUUGUUCCCUUGCCUAACUCUUGAUGGCUCUUUCUUUAGUUGGUGGUAGAAGUGUGAUUUUCAUGGACCCUUCCUAUAUGCUUAUUUCUAGCCUCCGUCAGGAGUGCUUUGUAAUUUGGUCUUCUAUAGACCUAUGUUUUUCCACAUUUAAUAUAAUUUAAGGUGCAGUUCCCCUGCGCUUUCGAGAAAAAAAAAACAAAUGAGCCAAAGCUCACGAACCUAGUGAGCUUGAGCUCGAAUAGCUCAAGUAUAAGCUCAUAUGUUUCUGGGGUUUGUUUUCUCCAGACAAAUCUGGUUUGAGCUGCUCUAGCUUGGUGGCCUCCAGAAUCUAUGCCUACAGCAGAAUAAGUUAUCUUUUGAGGUCUGGUGGAGGGAUAGUAGCUCAAGAGUUGAUCAGUUGACAAAAGGCUUCAAUUGCCUCGUGGUUCUUGGUGCUUGGAUGAUCUGGAAGCAUCGAAAGAGUUGUGUUUUGGAUGGGAGUGCUCCUAAUGUUGGCACUGUUCUGACGAUGGCCAGGGAGAUAUCCUGCUGGAUUCUUGCAGGAGCAAAUGCCCUCUCCUCCCUGCAGAUUGGAGAGUUGAUAGGAUAGUGCUUAGAUCGUGUGAGGAGGGUAGUUUGUGAGUUGUGUACAAUGGAUGUGUUCACGUACGGUGUAUACUGGCCGCCUUAAGGAGGCCUCCUUUGUAUCUUUGAUGGACUAUUUUGGACCUUUUUCUCCUUAAUAUAAUGAUGUACAGCUCUCCUGCGUAUGUGAGAAAAAACUCAUGUUACUGCAUAAGCUAAGACUCUGCAUAGAUAUGAAUUCUAAUUUCCUAGACCAACUAUGUUGUACAAGUCACCUAGGGCUAAGGAACAAGGCAAUAGCUCAACUGCUCAAGUCCAAUUAGUCUUAUAGUAUCUGGUUACCUAAGCUUAUGGUUGACAAAAAACCUUGAAGCUCACAACUUUUACCCCUAGGGUUACUUUUUCCUCUGUCGGCAGCAACACAACUAGAGUUCACUCCAAUUAUUCAAUCUUCUACGUCCAAGUGUUGAUCGCCUUAAGUAGGGAUGUAAAUGGUACGAAUAUUAUCCGUCCAUAUUCGAGUUGGAUCCAUUUAAGAGGGCUCAGAUCCGAUCUGUAUCUGAGCCGAGUAUUCAGUAUUCGAUCCGUAUACAAUCUAUAGAUUUUCCAUGUAAGUACCUUGGUCUGCCUUUGUCUCCCAAGAAACUCACAAGGGACCAGGUUCAGGCCAUCGUUGAUAGAGUAGCUAGCCUUCUGCCAGGAUGGAAAGCUGAACUUAUGACCCGGGCUGGUAGAGCUAUUCAUGUGCAGUUUGUCAUGACGGCAAAGAUGAUUUAUGCAGCUUUGGCACUUGACCUUCCUGUUUGGGCCAUCAAAGCAAUUGAUAAGCUGAGGAAGGGCUUCCUUUGGAGGGGCAGGAAAGAGUUCCGUGGUGGUCAUUGCCUCUUGGCUUCGCCUAAGGUUACCCGUCCCAAGGAGCCGGGUGGUCUUGGGAUUAGUGAGCUAAAGAACCUAUGUUGGGCUCUGAGAGCUCGUUGGCCAUGGCUGCAGAAAACAGACCCCAGUAGGCCUUGGACGGACUUCCCCACUCGUGUAUGUAAGGUGGUUAAAAAUCUGAUCGCUGCAGCCAUUAUUACUAAGCUCGGUGAUGGAGCCAAUACCCUCUUCUGGAAGGAUAGAUGGUUGGAUGGGAAAUGUAUUAAGGACAUAGCUCCUGCAGUGUUUGAUUUGGUGCCCCCGCGUCUUGCCAACAGACGGUUGGUCAAAGAUGCGCUCCCUAAUUUUCAGUGGAUCUCCGAUGUGAAUGGGGCAAUUUCAGUUAGAGUCAUUGCUGAAUUCUUGGAACUUUGUGAAGUGCUUGAUGCAGUUGUGCUCCAACCUGGAAUAAGGGAUCGCCACUUAUGGAAAUUCAGCGCUUCAGGGGAGUAUACAACUAGUUCUGCUUAUAAAGCUCUCUUCCUUGGUUCGGUUCAGUUCGAACCAGCAGAACGUGUGUGGAAAUCUUGGGCUCCUGGAAAGUGCAAGUUCUUUAUAUGGCUUGUGGAACAUAAUAGGUGCUGGACUGCUGACAGGCUUAUAAAAAGAGGACUAGACCGACCUGAGCAGUGCCCCCUGUGCGACCAAGAGGCUGAAACCAUAAAUCAUUUGCUGGUCAAAUGUGUUUUUGCCAUACAGUUCUGGUUUCAUUUCCUUAGUUCAGUGGGGCUGCAGGAACUGUAUCCAGCUCAUGAGGAUUCCUUUGAGUCGUGGUGGAAGUCUAGCAGCUCUCAGGCAUCUGAUUUUUUGAGAAAAAGUUUUAAUUCUUUAGUGAUCCUAGGUGCUUGGACCAUUUGGAAGCAUAGGAAUAGAUGCGUCUUUGAUGGUUGUAAUCCCAGCCUGGUCACAGCCCUUAGAGUGGCUAGGGAAGAGGCGGUGCUAUGGUCCUUGACUGGAGCCAAGGCCCUGUCCUUCCUCCAAGUUGAUGAGUUGCUAGCUUAGAUCAGCGUUGUGGGUCGUGUUUCCUCCAUGAUAGUCGGUGAUCCUUAGUCUCUAAGUGGUGUGUGUGUUCUGUACCGGGGUUCUCUCCCCCUUUCCUAUUCUUCUAUUAAUGCAAUGAUGCGCAGCUCUCCUGCGUAUUCCAGAAAAAAAAAAUUGUAUUCGUAUGACUGUAUACUCAAAGAGCUCUGUCAUUCCCAUCCACUGCUCUGAGGAAGACAUUAGCCGCACUAGAGACAUCCUCUCUUGCUCGGUAGGCAGCUUCCCAUGCUCCUACCUUGGCAUACCCCUUACUCUUGCUAAACCAACUAAAGCUGAUUUGCUACCUUUGAUUGAUAAGGUUGCAAUCAAAUUGCUGGGGUGGAAGGUCCAUCUCUUGAAUAAAGCAGGCCGGCUAGAGUUAGUUAAAUCAGCUCUUUUAGCAACACCUAUUCAUUUGAUGCUUGCGCUUGAUUUGCCCAAAUGGGUUAUUAAAGCAAUUGACAAAAGAAGGCGGGGUUUUCUCUGGAAAGGGCAAGAGCAAGCAAAUGGAGGCAAUUGUAUGGUGUCCUGGCGAAAAGUGCAGCGGCCGUACCAGUACGGUGGUCUUGGUAUCCAUGAUCUGGAAAGGAUGGGGUGGACUCUACGCUUACGAUGGCUCUGGUUCAUGAAAACGGACACCUCGAAACCUUGGUUUCCCUGCACAAGCAGCAGCCUUGUUCAAAAUGGCAGUUGAAGUUACCAUUGGCAAUGGUGAGGAUACUCUUUUUUGGACAGAAAAAUGGUUGCAGGGCAGAUGUGUGGCUGAUUUAGCCCCCGAGCUCUACCAUGCAAUUCCCAAGAGAGUAGCUAAAAGGCGUACAGUGAAUCAGGCUCUUUCCAACAGAUGUUGGAUCUCAGGUAUCAAGGGAGCCUUAACAGUUCAGGUGUUGGCUGGUUACCUCCAUAUUUGGGAUCUGGUGGAGGGUGCUGUCCUUCAACUUGACACACCAGAUAAGCAUGUUUGGAGGCUUUCUUCUACUGGGUGCUAGAGCAGCAAAUCUGCCUAUAACGCAAUGUUCGUUGGCACCAUCAAAUUCUCCCCUUGGAAGCGGAUUUGGAAAACUUGGGCACCAUGAAAUUCUUCUACUGGGUGGAGGGUUCUCUCUUAAUGAAAUGGCGCGCAGUUCGAUAAAAAAUUGUAUAUUUAAGAUGUUGAUAUCCAUUCAAAUCUUAUUUGACGCAACUCGAUAACAUCCGUAUCCAAUCCGAAUCCGAAGAGAAAAUAUAAAAACAAAUAUGAAACGAGUAAUAUCCGGAUAUGUGAUUAGCCGAUUACACCCCUAGCCUUAAGUGCUCAGUGCUCUUGGGGAUCUUCCUACCAUCCCUGUGCACCCCUAGCCUUAAAGCAACGAUGGAUCAGGACUGAAUUUGGAGAGGCUGAAUGGCCUGAAUCUGGGGGAGGGGAGGAGGUCGAGUUGGAUUUCUCAGGAAAAUUGGAGGAGCUCGUCAAGGAUGUAAGUUGGCUGGAUGUGUUAGGUUUAUACUACAAAACCCUUUUGCCAUGUUGGCGUAUUGCAUGGGCGGCUGCUAAAGAAAUUACCUUCAAGGUGAAAGGGGAUAAUCUGCUUCCAAGGAGAGGGGCUCAGGGGCGCCUGUUGUCCUCGGGGAGUAUGAUGGGUCUCCAACAAACUGGAUAGGAUUCUGGUUUGGGCUUGUACCCUAGGAAUCCCCAAAAGGAACUCGUUGAAAAGGUUGCUAAAAAGGUUGGUGACCCACUGAUCACUGUUGUUGUGUGUCAUGGACCUUCGGUCCAUGGGGAUAGAUGUCUUCUCCGGCGAGGUUAUACCCCUCUGCCGCAGGCUUGGUUCUAGGGUAGCAGCCCUAGGCGCUUGAGAGGGUCAUUGCAAGAGAGAGAGAUUGGUUUGAUAAUGAUCUUGCUUGAUUUAUUCCCUGCUGCCAUGCGGCUUAUAAAUAGCUCUAUGGCUAACCAACUUCUCCUACAAACUCUCAACUAACUCCUACUUUCUUGGACUUAUCUGAUGCUAACCAACUCUCCACAAUUCUCUCAUUUCAAUCUUAUUCUCUAACCUUAUCCCAGCUCAUCUCAAUCUUAUUCUCUAGCCUUAUCCCAGCCUGGCUGUUGCCUCUCGCUCCCUAUUGUGUCCAUGACAUCUCCCCCUCCCUUGAGGACCAGCUCGUCCUCGAGCUGCCAUAGACUUACCUGACACGACUUAAGGUUAAGCCUUUUACAUCUCGGCUUACCUUUAUUAUUUAAGACGAAAAAACAAAAUAAUUGUGGAACUAAAAUAUAAAUUUGAACUGCAGUAUGUCCUCCUGUCCUCCUGGAUCCCAAGGAAAGAGCUGAACUGCGGACUUCACGUUGGAUGAAAGGUGAAGGAGGAACCAACCCGUUCUUAUGUUGGGUCUGUCCAGCACCAAGGCAGUUGCCCGAAUGAAGGAGACGAUCCUCUUUGGCCGUGCAGGGGCGCUGCAUACCCAGAUCUCGACUUCUGCAGGGGGUUCAAAAAGUAUAGACGAGACCUGGUGGUUGGGCGCGCAGGCUGCGAGUUGGUGCAGCGAUGAGCUGAUCAGCAAGUGCAGCUUCCGCACCGCCCGCCUAACAAGGAAGCCGCGCACUGCGGCUUGCAGGCGCACCACGGCCUGCUCAUGUGAUGACGGCCAUGGGGUGGCCCUGGAGGCCACAGCAAGGUGCUUCUCCCCACGAAAGGACUGUACCUGGCGGCGUGCCAGGAACCCUCGCGCUGCCGCCUGAAGCCGCACCGCUGCUUGGAGUUCCUUCUCUGUCUUCUCCUUGUAGCGGUGGAACAUCACAACAAAUUGAUCCCACUUCUCUUCGAGCCGAGUGAAUGCAUCUGGAGUUGGAGAGGGCGGGUGGGAGGGCGUUGCGGCGGCGGAUGGCGCGGCGGCUGGUGGUGGUGAGGGAUGGGCGGCUGGUGGUGGUGAGGAUAACCUGGAGCUGAUACCAGGUGUCAUGGACCUUCGGUCCAUGGGGAUAGCUGUCUUCUUCGGCGAGGUUAUACCCCUCUGUCGCAGGCUUGGUUUUAGGGUAGCAGCCCUAGGCGCUUGAGAGGGUCAUUUAAAGGGGGAGAGAUUGGUUUGAUAAUGAUCUUUGCUUGAUUUAUUCCCUGCUGCCAUGCGGCUUAUAAAUAGCUCUAUGGCUAACCAACUUCUCCUACAAACUCUCAACUAACUCCUACUUUCUUGGACUUAUCUGAUGCUAACCAACUCUCCACAAUUCUCUCAUUUCAAUCUUAUUCUCUAACCUUAUCCCAGCUCAUCUCAAUCUUAUUCUCUAGCCUUAUCCCAGCCUGGCUGUUGCCUCUCGCUCCCUAUUGUGCCCAUGACAUCUGCCUCGACGCCCAACGUCGCUGGACCGCGGCUACGCAGUUCGUAGUCGCGCUCCAGACCUUCACCGUGAGGGAUUCCUCACCGGUGGCUUGAGAGAGACAAGGGAGAAGAGCAGUUUUGGAUAAUUGAUCUUGCUUGAUUCAUUCCCUGCUGCCAUGCGGCUUAUAAAUAGCCCUAUGGCUAACCAACUUCUCCUACAAACUCUCAACUAACUCCUACUUUCUUGGACUUAUCUGAUGCUAACCAACUCUCCACAAUUCUCUCAUCUCAAUCUUAUUCUCUAGCCUUAUCCCAGCUCAUCUCAAUCUUAUUCUCUAGCCUUAUCCCCGCCUGGCUGUUGCCUCUCGCUCCCUAUGAUGCCCAUGACAUCUCCCCCUCCCUUGAGGACCAGCUCGUCCUCGAGCUGCCAUAGACUUACCUGACACGACUUAAGGUUAAGCCUUUUACAUCUCGGCUUACCUUUAUUAUUUAAGACGAAAAUACAAAAUAAUUGUGGAACUAAAAUAUAAAUUUGAACUGCAGCUAUGUCCUCCUGUCCUCCUGGAUCCCAAGGAAAGAGUUGAACUGCGGACUUCACGUUGGAUGAAAGGUGAAGGAGGAACCAGCCCGUUCUUAUGUUGGGUUUGUCCAGCACCAAGGCAGUUGCCCGAAUGAAGGAGACGACCCUCUUUGAUCGUGCAGGGGGGCUGCAUACCCAGAUCUCGACUUCUGCAGGGGGUUCAAAAAGUAUAGACGAGACCUGGUGGUUGGGCGUGCAGGCUGCGAGUUGGUGCAGCGAUGAGCUGAUCAGCAAGUGCAGCUUCCGCACCGCCCG
Molecule: long non-coding RNA, 11290 nt
Filed under: Zea mays
Lineage: Eukaryota; Viridiplantae; Streptophyta; Magnoliopsida; Poales; Poaceae
Description: long non-coding RNA (ZMAY_LNC002809)
Source: RNAcentral